RNAcentral lists this ribosomal RNA (2072 nucleotides) under Actinopolyspora mortivallis DSM 44261. RNAcentral's name for it is "bacterial LSU rRNA". It matches the Rfam family "Bacterial large subunit ribosomal RNA", at positions 989 to 2925 of the family's 2925-position model. Lineage: Bacteria; Bacillati; Actinomycetota; Actinomycetes; Actinopolysporales; Actinopolysporaceae. The record is from RNAcentral.
CCCUGGGGGACAAGCUCCAGGGUCGAGAGGGAAACAGCCCAGAUCACCGGCUAAGGCCCCCAAGUGUGUGCUGAGUGGAAAAGGAUGUGGGAUCGCCGAGACAACCAGGAGGUUGGCUUAGAAGCAGCCAUCCUUGAAAGAGUGCGUAACAGCUCACUGGUCAAGUGAUCCUGCGCCGAUAAUAUAGCGGGGCUUGCAAGCACACCGCCGAAGCCGUGGCACCGCCCCUUGGUGGGGUGGUGGGUAGGGGAGCAUCCCUCACCGCGGUGAAGCAUCCCCGUAAGGGGGUGUGGAGUGUGGGGGAGUGAGAAUGCAGGCAUGAGUAGUGCUAGGACAGUGAGAAUCUGUCCCGCCGAAUGACCAAGGGUUCCAGGGCCAGGCUGAUCCGCCCUGGGUGAGUCGGAUCCUAAGGCGAGGCCGACAGGCGUAGUCGACAGGACAACGGGUUGAUAUUCCCGUNCCCGCCUUGACACGUCCCAUACCAGCCCCCACGACACCAGCAUCAACCGGUGGGCCCGGUCUCGUUCGCGAGACCACGGCUGGACCGGUGGUGGUGUGUGUGGUGGGUGUGUUGGUCAGCGACGGGGUGACGCAGAAGGGUAGCCCAACCCGGGCGAUGGUGGUUCCCGGGGUAACGGUGUAGCCGGCCGGCCCAGGCAAAUCCGGGCCGGCGUCGACGGUGAGACCGGAGGCCGAGCCAGUGUGGCGAAGUGGGUAAGCCCCGGCUGCCGAGAAAAGCCUCUAGCGAGUGUGAGGGCGGUCCGUACCCGAAACCGACACAGGUGGUCUGGUAGAGCAUACCGAGGCGAGCGGGCGAACCGUGGUUAAGGAAUUCGGCAACAUGUCCCCGUAACUUCGGGAGAAGGGGAGCCGCCGCUGGUGACCCCCCCUGCGGGGUGAGCUGGCAGCGGCCGCAGAGAAUGGGCCCAAGCGACUGUUUACUAAAAACACAGGUCCGUGCGAAGUCGUAAGACGCGGUAUACGGACUGACGCCUGCCCGGUGCCGGAACGUUAAGGGGAGCCGUGAACCCCCCACGAGGGGGUGUGGCGGCGAACCGAAGCGCCGGUAAACGGCGGNGGUAACUAUAACCAUCCUAAGGUAGCGAAAUUCCUUGUCGGGUAAGUUCCGACCUGCACGAAUGGCGUAACGACUUGGGCGCUGUCUCGACCACGGACCCGACGAAAUUGCACGACGAGUUAAGAUGCUCGUUUCGCGCGGCAGGACGGAAAGACCCCGGGACCUUUACUACAGCUUGGUAUGGGCGUCCGCGGCGGCUUGUGUAGGAUAGGUGGGAAACUGGGAAGGUCACACGCCAGUGUGGCCGGAGUUGCUGGUGAAAUACCACUCUGGUCGUUGUGGGCGUCUAACCUCGGUCCGUCACCCGGACCAGGGACAGUGCCUGGUGGGUAGUUUAACUGGGGCGGUUGCCUCCCAAACAGUAACGGAGGCGCCCAACGGUUCCCUCAGCCUGGACGGAAACCAGGUGACGAGUGCAAGUGCACAAGGGAGCUUGACUGUGAGACCGACAGGUCAAGCAGGUGCGAAAGCAGGGACUAGUGAUCCGGCACCGGCACGCGGACGCGGUGUCGCUCAACGGAUAACAGGUACCCCGGGGAUAACAGGCUGAUCUUGCCCAAGAGUCCCUAUCGACGGCAUGGUUUGGCACCUCGAUGUCGGCUCGUCGCAUCCUGGGGCUGAAGUCGGUCCCAAGGGUUGGGCUGUUCGCCCAUUAAAGCGGCACGCGAGCUGGGUUUAGAACGUCGUGAGACAGUUCGGUCCCUAUCCGCCGCGCGCGCACGGAGACGUGCGGGGAGCUGUCCCCAGUACGAGAGGACCGGGACGGACGAACCUCUAGUCUGCCAGUUGUCCCGCCAGGGGCAGGGCUGGUUCGCUACGUUCGGCACGGAUAACCGCUGAAAGCAUCUAAGCGGGAAGCCCACCCCAAGACCACGUCUCCCACCCCCCACCGGGGGGAUAAGGCCCCCAGCAGACGACUGGGUCGAUAGGCCCGACAUGCACCCACAGCAAUGUGCUCAGUGGACGGGUACUAACCGGCCGAACGACGAACACC